GCACGCUUAGCUCAGUUGGUAGAGCACUCGACUGAUACUCGAGCGGUCCUAGGUUCGAAUCCUAGAGCGUGCA
Molecule: transfer RNA, 73 nt
Filed under: bacterium
Lineage: Bacteria
Also listed under: 7 other names
Description: tRNA-Ile
Rfam family: tRNA
About the family: Transfer RNA (tRNA) molecules are approximately 80 nucleotides in length. Their secondary structure includes four short double-helical elements and three loops (D, anti-codon, and T loops).
Source: RNAcentral